AUUCUCACUAGAUACAUACUUCAAGUUCACCUACAUCUUCUUCAUUUGCUUUAAGUAGUAAACUAAAUUUUAUUUACGAAAUGAUUUUCAUUCUGCAUAUGAUGAAAAUCAAAUAGAUAAUGUAAAUGAGUUGGCUUGAUGGAGAAGUAUUAAAAAUUAAUAUUAUAUUUUGUCUGUCAUUGCAUGCGAUAUUUUAACUAUGUCGAUGUCCAUAGUAGCAUCGAAAUCCACUUUUAGUGCAGGUCGGUAUGUUCUUGAAGAAA
Molecule: long non-coding RNA, 263 nt
Filed under: Elaeis guineensis (African oil palm)
Lineage: Eukaryota; Viridiplantae; Streptophyta; Magnoliopsida; Arecales; Arecaceae
Description: long non-coding RNA (EGUI_LNC054012)
Source: RNAcentral